RNAcentral lists this ribosomal RNA (1728 nucleotides) under Symbiodinium sp. Mp. RNAcentral's name for it is "partial Bacterial large subunit ribosomal RNA". It matches the Rfam family "Bacterial large subunit ribosomal RNA", at positions 1083 to 2925 of the family's 2925-position model. Lineage: Eukaryota; Dinophyceae; Suessiales; Symbiodiniaceae. The record is from RNAcentral.
GCAAAGACAGCCAGGAUGUUGGCUUAGAAGCAGCCACCAUUUAAAGAGUGCGUAAUAGCUCACUAGUCAAGCGACUCGGCGUCGAUAAUAAUCGGGCAUAAGUCCGGUGCCGAAGCUGUGGGAUUGAAAAAUCGGUAGGGGAGCAUUCCAGUUGCGUCGAAGGUGUCCUGCGAGGGGUGCUGGAGCGGUUGGAAGCGAAACUGUAGGCAUGAGUAACGAUAAGACGGGUGAAAAACCCGUCCACCGUAAACCCAAGGGUUCCUGAUCAACGCUAAUCGGAUCAGGGUUAGUCGGGUCCUAAGGCGAACCGAUUUAGGGUAGUCGAUGGAAAGCAGGUUAAUAUUCCUGCACCAGCGGAGAGGGACGGAGAAGUGUGGCAACAUAGACUGACGGAAUAGUUGAGCCUAGUCGUAUGACGAAGCGCAGUUGUGAAGCUUCUUCCAAGAAAAGCUCCCGCAUAAGCCCGUACCGUAAACCGACACAGGUGGCCGGGUUGAGAAUACUAAGGGGCUCAAGUGAAUCACGGUUAAGGAAUUCGGCAAAUUAACCCUGUAACUUCGGGAUAAAGGGUGCCUACGCAAGUAGGCCGCAGUGAAUUGGUCCAGGCGACUGUUUAUCAAAAACACAGCACUGUGCUAACUCGCAAGAGGACGUAUACAGUGUGACGCCUGCCCAAUGCCGGAAUGUCACGGAAGCGGGUUAGCUUCGGCGAAGCUCGUAACCUAAGCACCGGUCAAUGGCGGCCGUAACUAUGACGGUCCUAAGGUAGCGAAGUUCCUUGUCGGGUAAGUUCCGACGCGCAUGAAUGGCGUAACGACUGGAGCACUGUCUCCACUUCCGACUCGGUGAAAUAGUAGUGGCGGUGAAGAUGCCGCCUACCCGCGACAAGACGGAAAGACCCCAUGAACCUUUACUAUAGGCUUUUAUUGCACAUGAGUUUGUAUUGCGUAGGAUAGGUGGGAGGCUUUGAAGCGGCCGUUCUGGCGGUCGUGGAGCCAUCCUUGAAAUACCACCCUUUACCUAUUCGUGUGCUAACCCCGAUUCCCGUGAAGCCGGGCGGGGGACAGUGAGUGCUGGGUAGUUUGACUGGGGCGGUCUCCUCCGAAAGAGUAACGGAGGAGCGCAAAGGUUGGUUCAGCGCGGAUGGAAACCGCGUGUUGAGUGUAAGAGCACAAGCCAGCUUUACUGCGAGAGCGACGGCUCGAGCAGUCUCGAAAGAGGGCUCUAGUGAUCCUGCGAUCCCGUGUGGAAGGGUCGUAGCUCAUCGGAUAAAAGGUACUCUGGGGAUAACAGGCUGAUCGCUCCCGAGCGUCCAUAGCGGCGGAGCGGUUUGGCACCUCGAUGUCGGCUCAUCGCAUCCUGGGGCUGAAGGCGGUCCCAAGGGUUAGGCUGUUCGCCUAUUAAAGCGGUACGCGAGCUGGGUUCAGACCGGCGUGAGCCAGGUCGGUCCCUAUCUGUCGUGGGCGCUGCACAUUUGAGAGGAGUCUUCCUUAGUACGAGAGGAUUAGGAAGGACGAACCCCUGGUGAUCCAGCUGUCGCGCUAGCGGCACCGCUGGGUAGCUAAGUUCGGCAGGGAUAACCGCUGAAAGCAUCUAAGCGGGAAGCCCCCCUCAAGAUGAGAUGUGCUUGCUAUACGCGUGAGACCCCUGGAAGACCACCAGGUUGAUAGGCUGCAUGUGUAAGGGGUGAGAGUCCCUCAGCUAAGCAGUACUAACGGUCGAACGCUU